This 1581-nucleotide ribosomal RNA is filed under the name Triticum aestivum (bread wheat). RNAcentral describes it as "partial small subunit ribosomal RNA". The record is from RNAcentral. Lineage: Eukaryota; Viridiplantae; Streptophyta; Magnoliopsida; Poales; Poaceae.
AUGGACUGCGUUCUUCUGAGCUCACACUUGUCGUCCCAUGCCACUGUUAACGCAAGGCUUCAGCAAUGCUCUGUUAGUCUCAACAGUAUAGGAUUUGCAGUUAUCAGAAAGGGAUGCUUAAGAUUAAGGUGCUAUGCAAUUGGUGAUGCAGGGCGUCGAAAUGAUCCUUUGAACGAGAACAAGAAUGGGCCCAUUUCGCAAGAACUAAACGGGUCCAGUGCUUCCUUCACAACUGUUGGUGCUGAAAUCACUCAAGAAACAGGAGAUUUCUUUAGUAGUGAUGCUGAGGGUGACCCGGAUAAACCGACGGAGGGUUUCUCCUCGAUCGAGGAUGCAAUAAAUUCGCUGCGGGAGGGAAAGUUUGUUAUUGCCGUAGAUGACGAGAAGGGUGACAAUGAAGGGGAUCUUAUCAUGGCAGCCGAUCAAGCCAGCCCAGAAUCAAUUGCAUUCAUGAUCAGAAAUGGUUCCGGCAUCAUCUCAGUGGGCAUGAAGGAAGAGGACCUAGAAAGGUUGAUGCUUCCUAUGAUGUCUCCGGUCACAGAAAUUGGCGACAUUUCAGCUGCUGCUUCCACAGCGACAGUGGACGCCAGAGUGGGCAUAACCACUGGUGUAUCAGCUGCAGACAGGGCAAAGACCAUCCUUGCUCUAGCCUCCCCUGACUCCAAGCCCAGUGACCUCAGAAGGCCAGGCCACAUAUUCCCCCUCAAGUACCGGAACGGAGGCGUGCUGAAAAGAGCCGGCCACACCGAGGCAUCGGUGGAUCUUGUCGCAUCGGCCGGUUUGCGCCCGGUAUCAGUUCUAUCGACCAUCAUCGACCCGAAGGACGGUUCGAUGGCAUCAACACCGGCGCUGAAACAGAUGGCUUUGGAGCAUGAUAUCCCGAUUGUCUCGAUCACUGAUCUCAUCCGGUACAGGAGGAAAAGGGAGAAACUGGUGGAACUGAUCGCUGUAUCUCGUUUGCCUACUAAAUGGGGCCUCUUCCGCGCUUACUGCUACCAAUCCAAGCUGGACGGAACUGAGCACAUCGCUGUUGCAAAGGGCGAUAUCGGCGACGGGGAAGACGUGCUGGUGAGGGUGCAUUCAGAGUGCCUGACCGGCGACAUCCUGGGCUCCGCCCGCUGCGACUGCGGCGAGCAGCUGGACCUGGCGAUGCAGCUGAUCGAGAAGGCCGGCCGUGGCGUCCUCGUGUACCUGCGCGGACAUGAAGGCCGGGGCAUUGGGCUCGGCCAGAAGCUCCUUGCCUACAACCUGCAGGACCAAGGAAGCGACACGGUGGAGGCCAACGUCGAGCUCGGCCUUGCCAUUGACUCCCGCGAGUACGGCAUAGGCGCCCAGAUUCUUAGGGACAUUGGCGUGCGCACGAUGCGGCUGAUGACGAACAACCCGGCAAAGUUCGUUGGGCUCAAGGGGUACGGGCUCGCCGUGGUGGGCCGGGUCCCGGUGAUCUCGCCGAUCACCAAGGAGAACCAGAAAUACCUCGAGACCAAGAGGACCAAGAUGGGGCACCUCUACGGAUCCGACCUUCCCGGCGGCCUCCUGAAGGAAUUCCUCAAUCCUACGGAAGACAACACCACUAGCUAA